GACGAACGCUGGCGGCGUGCCUAAUACAUGCAAGUAGAACGCUGAAGAGAGGAGCUUGCUCUUCUUGGAAGAGUUGCGAACGGGUGAGUAACGCGUAGGUAACCUGCCUUGUAGCGGGGGAUAACUAUUGGAAACGAUAGCUAAUACCGCAUAACAAUGGGUGACCCAUGUCAUUCAUUUAAAAGGGGCAACUGCUCCACUACAAGAUGGACCUGCGUUGUAUUAGCUAGUAGGUGAGGUAACGGCUCACCUAGGCGACGAUACAUAGCCGACCUGAGAGGGUGAUCGGCCACACUGGGACUGAGACACGGCCCAGACUCCUACGGGAGGCAGCAGUAGGGAAUCUUCGGCAAUGGGGGCAACCCUGACCGAGCAACGCCGCGUGAGUGAAGAAGGUUUUCGGAUCGUAAAGCUCUGUUGUAAGUCAAGAACGAGUGUGAGAGUGGAAAGUUCACACUGUGACGGUAGCUUACCAGAAAGGGACGGCUAACUACGUGCCAGCAGCCGCGGUAAUACGUAGGUCCCGAGCGUUGUCCGGAUUUAUUGGGCGUAAAGCGAGCGCAGGCGGUUUGAUAAGUCUGAAGUUAAAGGCUGUGGCUCAACCAUAGUUUGCUUUGGAAACUGUCAAACUUGAGUGCAGAAGGGGAGAGUGGAAUUCCAUGUGUAGCGGUGAAAUGCGUAGAUAUAUGGAGGAACACCGGUGGCGAAAGCGGCUCUCUGGUCUGUAACUGACGCUGAGGCUCGAAAGCGUGGGGAGCGAACAGGAUUAGAUACCCUAGUAGUCCAAGGGCGAAUUCCACAGUGGAUAUCAAGCUUAUCGAUACCGUCGACCUCGAGGGGGGGCCCGGUACCCAGCUUUUNNNCCUANNNNNNGGGGGGUNNA
RNAcentral lists this ribosomal RNA (883 nucleotides) under uncultured Streptococcus sp. Its description in RNAcentral is "bacterial SSU rRNA". It matches the Rfam family "Bacterial small subunit ribosomal RNA". Lineage: Bacteria; Bacillati; Bacillota; Bacilli; Lactobacillales; Streptococcaceae. The record is from RNAcentral.